Molecule: transfer RNA, 68 nt
Filed under: bovine gut metagenome
Rfam family: tRNA
About the family: Transfer RNA (tRNA) molecules are approximately 80 nucleotides in length. Their secondary structure includes four short double-helical elements and three loops (D, anti-codon, and T loops).
Source: RNAcentral
CAAUAUAGCUCAGUCGGUAGAGCGGCUCACUCGUAAUGAGCAGGUCGUGGGUCCGAUUCCCACUGUUG